CCAACCCUGCAGUGUUCGAGACUUAAUGGAGUAUCUGUCCUUUACUCUGUAACAAUCGGGAGCUUGCCCCUCGUAGGUGGCUGUCCAGCCGUCAACCGGAAGACAAAUACCGACGAGGAAAGUACCCACCUUAUGCUCAAAAGGCUAAGAACUCCCACUAAAACGGCACAGGCGGGGCCUUU
This 182-nucleotide non-coding RNA is filed under the name Thalassobacterium maritimum. RNAcentral describes it as "6S RNA". It matches the Rfam family "6S / SsrS RNA". From Rfam's summary of the family: E. coli 6S RNA was the first non coding RNA to be sequenced, but its function was unknown until recently. Lineage: Bacteria; Pseudomonadati; Verrucomicrobiota; Opitutia; Puniceicoccales; Coraliomargaritaceae. The record is from RNAcentral.